Molecule: long non-coding RNA, 5561 nt
Organism: Melospiza melodia melodia
Lineage: Eukaryota; Metazoa; Chordata; Aves; Passeriformes; Passerellidae
Exons: 5
Source: RefSeq, a predicted model, not a curated record
GGGGAAGCCGGGGCGGGGCCCGGGGCCCAUCCCCGCCGCUGUGCCCCGCUGAGGGGGCUGCGCCCAGCGGCGCUUCCAAGCCCCACCCUGCACUUCAGAUAAUUCUGCCCUUUGGGAAAACACUGAUAUCAAGCACACUUCCUUCAGAAAUGAAGUUGGAUCUGUAACCUUUGACACAACCACCAGAGGAAGGUCCUGCAACCACACACAUCCUGGCAAAAGAGCCCCCAUGCUGCUGAGAGAUGAAUAUUUAUGUCAUGGAAAGAUCUCCAGCUUUCCUCAGGCUGAAGUCACACCAUCAGGUAGAGAUGGCAGCUGGCAGUAACCCACAUCAGCAAAAAUCAGAAAAGCUGCAGCAGGAUCACAGAAAAGAGCUUGGACCAGCACAGCACGAGGGCAGAUGGAUAUCAGCUAUCACAGACAAAUCAUAAAAUCGGGCACGUACUUAUGCAGCAGUGCCAACAGCCAGCAUCCAACAUCAGUGAGCAAAGCCAUGGGCUCUCAAGUGCGUGGUCUUGAAGACCAAGUAGGUCUCUGUUCCCUGGAAUGCACUACUGUAUGAUAUCAAUACCUUGCAAGUCACACCUGUCUAACCCUAAAAUGGCUGAGGUUGGAAUGAAUGAAUGGAAACGUCUGCCUACUGCCAACUGUGUACCAUAAACUACACUACAGACUGCUCAACACGCCUGAAAUCGCUGAGGUACAGGGUUUCUGAAAGGCCUCUGAGGUCAGUGGGAGGAUGGAGAACACUCUUGGUUCUGGGCCAAAGAAGAACUUUCAAAGGACAAAGCCUCAAGGAAGUACUAAAUUUCCUUCAGCACUCUGAAGUCAUGAUGACCAUCAGCUAAACAACUGAAAGGACAGAACAGCAGAAUAUGUCCAUUGCAUAAGGGCAACAUAGAGAGAUUUGUAUCCCACUGCUUUAAAAAUGGACUACAAAACAUUCUCCAGUAUCUGAAGGAAGGAGGAGGCUCUGAGAAAAACUGCAGCCUUGUUAAAUAGCUUGAACCUGUAUUUGGUGGCAAGAAUGUGACAAUCAGCAUUCGGUUAGUCUGUUUCCUUGUGUUAUCUACCCAUGGAGCCAAGAGUGUGACAAUCAGCAUUCAGUUAGUCUGUUUCCUUGUGUUAUCUAGCCAUGGAGCAUAUGCAUUCCUAGAAUACAAUCUGGCACAUUCCAGCUUUCCCCAACACAACAAGGAAUGCCAGCUAGUCAUACAGACAUAUUGGUUUUCUAAUUAUAGAGAAAAUUUGUAUUUUGAUCAAUUUUCUUGAUUGACACACAGCCAGAAACCUCCAGAUUGCCUUGUGGGAUUCAAAACAUCCCUGGCAGGAAGUGAGGUUCAGGAAGCACUACUGUGGGAUGUGGAACAGGCUGUGACAUCAUCCUAUCUCUUAAUUGGGGGAAGAAGCAGAGACCACCAUCCACUUCCAUAAGCACUCUGGAAAGGACCACUGGUUAUCAGGGUUUUCUGACCAUACCCUGCCAUUAGCAUAAGUGUUUGCCUAUUACAUUUUAACAGCUGGGUUCAUAGACUUCAGCACCUGAAGCCAACCCAGACUGACCUACUGGGGGUAUGCUAACCACAUGAGCAAUCCUGGGAACCAAAGACAAUGCUCAUGCACCAGCCACAAGACAAAGAUAGUUACAUGCAACUUACUCAUGUGAGCUUUGUCUUCUAACAGUGAGGAGUCUGAGCAAAAAUGUUCCCACAUGCAGAAGUAGAAAUGACUGAGGCAGAAGAGUGCAGGUUUAUUCUGCCAGCAGCUGUUGCCAGCUGGACAAUGACAAAAUAAACAAAGGCUACCCAGUCAAAUAUAGCAAUCCAAGCAAAUCCCCAUGAGCAACUGGCAACAGAAGGAAUGGUAAACUGAGCAGUGUCAGUUACCAGUUAUUCUGGUGUUUACCCAGCUCACAAAGGUCUAUGACACUUAGACCUAAUAGUUCAGAUUUGGUACUUUUCCAAAAGUCAGUGGGAACCUUUCAAACAUCUGGUAAGCUUGUGCAAUAAUACCACAGAUCUGAGUAGUUUUGACUGUGGUAGUAAUGAGAAGGUAGCCUAGAAGAGUGUGCACCACAAAUCUUUUUCACAAGCCUCAAGUGCAUUGUUAUCUUGGGAAAGCUGAAUGCUUGGAUGUGGCUGAGCCAUUUAUCUGCUGAGUAUGAACUCCUGAGCUGGACAUGGCCUUUAAAGCUCACUCAGCCAGCUAGACCUGGAAAUCAAGCUCCUACUGGCAGUUCACCUACUGCUUGAAUGAAUCAGAACAAUUUCUGGGUGGGUGUAGCUCAUCAAUGCAGCAGAGACGUGCCAAAUGCAGGCUGGAUAGCACAAUUCAUCCACUGCAUGUAAUGUAAGAAUGAAAAGAAGCCUUAUGCAAUGUCAGCAAAAGAGGAAAAAGUGAGAAAAAACUUAGAGGUCUAGAGAAGAGCAGUAACAUUAGCACAGCUGAUAUCAACAUUGUGGCUGACAUGGUAACGUGCAGGCACAUAUGCUGAAUGCCAAGCAGGGUGUGGGCACUGCAAAAUCUUUCAAGUCUCAAGUGAAGUCAGUAGACCAAAAGUUCGAACACACACACAAUCUCACUCAAGGAUUAAAAAAAAUGAGUAGUUCAAAUUAAUAACGCAAGACAGUUCUUCCAGUGUGAAAUGCAAUUUUGAUUCCAGAAAUCAGUAUCAACUGAUUGAAUGCCUUCUUGAAGCUGGCACUUGAGCAAUGGGGAAUAUUGCUGAAAAAAAUCACUUUGCUUUUCAACUGCAAACUCAUAGCAAAUAUUUGACUCCAGGCCUUUAGACUUAAAAGUCCUUUGGUUCAAGGGCCAGGGCUAUUGCAAAGGUGGAUAAGAGCCCUUGGCUGGAUCAUAGGGACAAGAAGGCAAACAAAUAUGGUAGAAUCUCUUUAAUACUUGUUGAUACUACCCAGGGAGCAGCUUAAGCUGGAAGAAUCAGCAUUGGCAAACAGUGUGAAACGGGAGCACCUGGGAGGUGGAAAAAUAGCAAGAUGGUAAAUGGGGUUGAUGAAAACAACCACCUCUCUGUGUGGUCCACUGCUGUGCCGCGCUAUCUCCAACUGGAGAACAAGAAUGACACAAGAUGGGACAGAGGAAAAGCAUGAUAGCUUCCUCUUGUCUGUGCAGUUUGCUGGCUCCCUGUCUAAACCUUCCCCUGUCUUGCACACGCUCACCUAGCCAAUGUUGGAGGAAAGAAGCCAUGGGAGGAGGCACAUGUUGCAGCAGGCAACUGAGAACUAUGAAUACAAAACAGAAACACUUCCAGGAAAGGUAGGAGUUUCCUGAAUCUUCCUUCCACCACUUAGUCACAGCUAUGGCAGGGUGAAAGAAGAAGAAUGAGUUACAAAAAGUUCUAGGGGGCAGUACAUGCAAGAUUAUAGAGAUGAAAAGGGGAAUACUCUAUCUUCCUUGAAAGUCCCAAACUUCUCUCAGCACUUCUGACUUCUACAGUCUAGUUACAAGAACGUGUAGACAAUGGCAUUGAUUCAAGCUCUUCAACUGCCCAUAUGUAUCUAGGACACACAAGGCUCCAAUAAUGGAAUAAGCAGCUGCUUAUGCAGUUUCGGUGAGACUUCAGGCAGUUUCCAAAACGGCUAAUGAACUGUCCCACAAGAAUUUGUUCUAGUAACCACACUUAAAGUUUGCAGCUCCUUACCUGAGAACUUGCACUGGUGUGGUGCAAACAUGGUUACUGCUGCAAUGCCUCUAGUUGCAUCACCAAGAUGAACACAGUAUUGAUGAAGGAAAAGGAACUCAGGACAGAUAUUUAGCUUAGAAACAUGCAUUAAGUGCUUCACUGCCCUGAGAGAAACCACAAGUGAAGUUCACAAGGAGGAUAAUGACUGUAGCAGUAGGAAAAGAGAAGUGAAAACACAACAGUAUAAAAUGUAGUAUAUUCAUGCAUUAUAGUUUGUAAGCACUUUAAAGUAUCAGCUUCUCAUAUGCUGUCUCAAGAAAGGCAACAGGCAUGAGAGCUGAAGGACAAGCAAGCAAACUCGGUAAACCGGCCUAGCAAGCACUGAGACACUUGUGACAUGGAAUGAGAGUCAGGAGCAAGUGUCACUGGCAUGGACAGGGAACAUGCCAAAGAGAGGGUGCUCCACCAUACUUGAUGACUUUCAACCUGAUGAGCAGCGUAUUAAGAUACUGUAAUGACUCAAAGAGAGGAGGCAGGAUGGUCAAGCCACUGAUGCAAUAGCAUCAACAAUUUGAAAAGACUGGGGUGGGGUUGACUUUAGCACAUAAAAUCUAAGAAGAGCCUGUAGUGAAAGAUGGAUAAUAACAGAAAAAAAGGCCUGUUUUAACAGAAAAAAGGGAACAUCGUGAAGGAAUCUGACAUGGUUAUAUUAUGUUCAGAGAAACAAAAGUUCCAAACUUUUUUAAUGAUAGAGGGAUUGCAUUUCUAGACAUUACACCUCCAAGGGCAACUUUUUAAAUGUAAUCCUAUCUUCAUCAAGGGUGUGUCUGAACACAGGUGCAUGCUCUGAGCUAGGGUGUGAAUUCACAGGACGUUUUGUACACUACAUUAAUUGCCAUAUGAGUUCACUUAUGGCUCUAAUCACACAAAUACUUGGAACUACACUGAAAAACUGGUAGCACCAAAAAAGGUUUUAUUCUUGUUGUGCCAGUGUUACCAUCUCAACAGCAAUACACAAGUAUUUCUGCAUGCCUGUUACAGGGCUUGCAAGGGUCUUUCAGGGUGAAGAGAGAGGCGAGAAUCUUGACCUCAUGUUCAGAAGGCUUGAUUUAUUAUUUUAUGGUAUAUAUACAUCAUUACUAUACUAAAAGAAAUAGAAGGAAAGAUCUCAGAAUGCUAGCAAGCUAAGAAUAGAAAAAGAAUGAAUAAACAAAGGAGCUCUCUCUGAUUCUGUCCCAGAGAGAGCGUGGCCUUUGAUUGGCCCUUAAUUGUACACAUCCAACAUGGGCCAAUCACAGGUGCACCUGUUGCAUUCCACAGCAGCAGAUAACCAGUGUUUACAUUCUUUUUCUGGGGCCUCAGCUUCCCAGAAGGAAAAAUCCUAAAGAAAGGAUUUUUCACAAAAGAUGUCCGUGACACAGGCCUGCUGGAUCAAGGAAUAAAACUGAGUCAUUAUGAACUGCUUAUUUUCUUAGAUCAGUUUCAAACUUGGGAUGAAUUCCUCAGUCUGAACCACUUGGUGAUCAUUUCACACUCUCAUUAAUGCAUCAAGACACUUUCUUUGGGAACCAUCUAUAAGGACUUGAGGAAUAAAGCUCCAAGAAUUCCUGUGCAAAGUCAUGUGUUCCUUUCAGAAAGCAGAGGGAACUACUUUACACCUAUGAGCCCAUAGAAGGAAACUGGUGCACAGCAGCCAGUAUUCUGAAAAAUUCACACCUUGACUUACUGCAUAUAAACUCUUUCAUACAAAAAAGCCCUGCAGCUCCACAAAGGCAAACAGCAGUUCUAGAAGGGCUAUAAACUGCUUUUUUCAGCCUAUUGGGAAGGGAACUGAAUGCAUGUAAACACAUAUGAAAUAUAUGGUGGGUUUAUGAACAUUAAAAGGGUUUGUAUGAUUAUACACCACUGUGAUACUCCA